UUACAAACCCUUACUUCUGCUGAGACUCUUGGGUUUGGUCCAGUCGAAUUGAGGGGACUCAAACUGGUAAGUUUGCAAUAGAGAUUGUUUGGAAUCAUGUCAAUGGAACCAUUAAAAUAUAACUCAGAGGGUUCAACUUUUACAGGAAAAUAGAGUAUUUUGCUGGAAUACUUUCAUGAUCUCCAUGGCAUUUUUCCUCAGGAACUGCGGUGGGUGGCUUCUAAUAUUGCUGUGGAUGAAGGCACACUCUACACAUAACUGAAGGCCUGCAUUUUUAGAAGGACUGAAGGACAAAGAGUUUAAGAUAACAUCUCUACUCCUGUGAUGUUACUCCUCCCUAACCUUGACUGUGCAGCAUUGAAGGCAAGAUAAAAACUUCAUGGCAUGAAAGGAAAGAAAGCUUAUUGUCCCAACAGUGGCCUGGGACUGAAAUUGCCAACUGAACAACUGUGGACAAGUCAUCUCAUUUUCACUUUGCCUGUUUCCUCCUUUUGAAAAGGCUUUGAAACAAGACCCCGGUGUCACAAAAUAUUUAAGGGUAAGAAGUAACAUGUUAUCACACAUUAAUAUAAAAGCAGGUUGUGUGGUUUUGUCUGCAUUUAAUUUAAUACACA
Molecule: long non-coding RNA, 614 nt
Filed under: Zonotrichia albicollis (white-throated sparrow)
Lineage: Eukaryota; Metazoa; Chordata; Aves; Passeriformes; Passerellidae
Description: lncRNA (ENSZALG00000016711.1)
Source: RNAcentral